UGACGCCCCCAAAUCCGGGUACUUGAAACUCGAACUCGGUGCUUCACGAUACCAUUUCUAUAAGCUGAAUCAUACAAUAGUAAUGUUACAUUCAAACUUAAUUUACAUACAUCAGAGUUUACUUCCCAGGUACGAGACCUUCAAAUACAUUCCUUACAAUACCUGACAAUAGAUUCCAUUGUCUUACUAACUAUAACUAUUAACUCAUACUAAAUCUCAUUCGAACAGCUUUUCUUUUUCUUUGUUCGUGCCUGAGCCUUCAGGUCGAUCGUACGUAACUGAAAACAUUUAAUUUAAGCAAGGAUGAGCAUUUGAGUGCCCAGCAAGUAAUAGCAAUUAUAUAUAUAAGCUGAAAGAAUAUAAGUAUUCUCUUUACAUAACACUUCAACAACGAAGCAAAAGUUGUGAAGUAAUCUGUACUGAUAAAAAUUCACAUAACAACUCUCUUUCAAAUUCUUGAAAUGAGGCUCCACCCAUGAAUAGGGUUUAAGAAACAUACUAUGAACAUGGUUUUUCAUUUUCGAAAAGGUUUAGCAGAAAUCCAUCCGCAAACCGCUCUAGCUUACGGGUACGGAGGGUGAUCAGCCCCGUUGUACCCUGUAUUGAUCAAUACUAAAUAACUUGAACGAAAUUCAUCGCUCAUCCUUUGUCCGCCGUAGCGCAUAAAAAUUUUCCCAUUAUCGGGAUGUUCAUACAUGCGAGGUUCUAAACCCGAAGGUUUUUAAUCUUGCUCAACAAUAAUAUGUAAUUCAACAUAUAUGUAUACGGGUAAUUGAAAAAAGUGUAUCAAUAUGUGAAUAAAUGCCAUGAUUAUCCAAGUGGGGACACUUGGAUAACCAUUUAGAAAUCAAUGAACAGAAUAUAUAUCUGAGCUAACAUGUUGAUAAUCAAAGCGUACAUAAUCUGUACAGGAAUAGAAAAGAAUUCUGAAACUUCUUACUCAUGUCCAUUGCAUAAAGAAAAUGCAAAGGUAGGAUACUUGCCUGAUUUGCUGAUUACAAAUCUCAACUUAGGUUUUAUCUCUUUAUCACAACCUAUCAAUAAGCAGGUCAUUCAUUCGAUUAGAACAAUAUAUCAUAACACAUAGUACUGUCAAUUACGGUCAGCACAUAGUCUAAUCACGUCAUCACAUAAUCGCACUGAUCAUAAUUUUAGUUCCUAUUCUAUACAUUUUUCAAAUAUCUCAUCCAUGCUCUUACAGAAGCCUUUUCUUUCUAUUAUAGGGUCUGACAUUUGUCGGCGUUCCGACAGCUUUAUCGGGUAAUUACUGAGUCUAAGACUCUUAUUCUAUACCUCAACAUCUGUAAAUAUCAGACAUUUUACUUUUAAUCAUUUUUGAAUUUUCCAGAAAUAGAAAAUUUUCAAAUAAUUCAAAUCUAUCACUAACGGGCCUAUCGUGACAUAACUGUUACUAUAGGUGCUCUUCAUCAAAUCCUGGACUUCAUAACCGGUUCUCAAGUCAGCUAGUUUGACCGGAUAUAACUUUCAAACAUCGGAAUCAUAAUUAAAUGAUUUAAACAUUAAACAAUUCCAUUAUCAUUAAUAAUUAAUUUAUAUUAAACUAUUAAUGAAACCAUUGCCAAAAUAUAAAAGUUAUUUAUAAUAACUCAAACUAUUUUUAAAACAUUUAUAUUACCCUUAAAUGAUUUUUAAAACAAUUAAAAUCAUUUUUAAAUAAUCACCAUUAAUAUAUAAAUAUUAAUGUACUAUUCAUCCAAAUAUUAAAAGUCAUUAAUUAUAACUUAAAAUAUUUUUAAAUCCUUAAUAUCCUCUUUAAAUGAUUUUUAAAUAAAUAAAACCAUUUUUAAACUAUUUAUUUAAUAAUAAUUAUUAAAUAAACUAAAUAUCAUUAAUAUUAUCUUAAUAUCAUUAAUAUUAAAUUAUUAAUGAAAUUAUCCUUUAAAUAUUAAAAGUUAUAUUUUAUAACUUAAAAUAUUUUUAAAUACCUUAAUUUCAUUUAAAAUGAUUUUUAUAAUAUUAAAAUCAUUUUUAAACUAAAUUAUUUAAUAUAAUCAUUAAAUAACUUUAAUAUCAUUAAUAUAUAAUUAAUUAAUGAAAUUCAUCACAAAAUAUUAAAAGUCAUGGAAAAUAACUUAAAAUAUUUUCUUAUACCAUAAAAUAAUUUUUCAUGAUUUUUCAUGAAUUAAAACUAUUUUUAAAUCAUUUAUUUAAUAUUAUAAUUAAAUAAAUAAAUACCUUUUAUAUUCCAAAAAUAUUAAAUAUUUAUGAAAUAUACUCAAAAUAAUUAAAAACUAUUUUUCGGACUUUAAAAUAAUUUUUCAUAAUUUAUUUGGUAUUUUUAAUAAUUAAAAUCUAAUUUUUCUAAUUUUUAAAUUAUUUUCAGAAAUUACAGAAAAUAAAAUAAAUAAAAUCCGUCGCUAAAGGCUAUAGCGACAGACAACCGUCGCUAUAGGUGUUCUUCAUCUCAAGAACACAGUUAGAGACAGUUCAAGGGGGCUAUUUUGACCAUGAAUAACUUUUUCCUCUUAAUGAAUUUGGACAAUCUAUAAAGUGGGUCUUGUAGAGGAAAUACCAGACUACAAUUACCAACAAUCAUAACUUCUAAACAACAUCAAAUCUGAGAGAAAUCGUACCUCAAAGUAGCUGUCAGAGCUGUUCUUCGUGAAGAACAGUUCGUGAUGCCUACUUUGGACCUCUAUAACUUGAUGAUCGUGUAACGUUUAUGUGAUCUAUCAAUUCCAGUGUGUAGACAACAUGUAGGACUACAACUACAAACCUUAACAUCAUCAUAACAACAAUAAAUCAAGCAUCUAAAGUAUGGUCAAACCUUAUCAAAAAAACAACACUUAGAAAAUUCUGGGCUGCCCAGAAUUUUCCAGUCAAUGCCGGUCAACCCACUUUGACCUUAAAUAACUCUUAAUCUAUAAUAUAUAUGGACCUGAUUCUUUUUGGAGGUUAAAUACCACAUAACAAGAUACACAUAACAACCUUUAGAACACAAAACAAAUUAAAGAUAACCGAGAUAUAAGGCCUGACAUUUUCCAAAAAAAUAUUUUCUGGACACUUAGAAUAUUUUCUGGGUUUGAAGAACAGCCGGUCAAUGCCGGUCAACCCACUUUGAUCGCUUAUAAAUCCCGAUCUACAAUAGCUAUGAACUUGAUUCCUUUUGGAGAUUAAAGACCACAUAUCAGGCUACAUAUAAAAACUUUUAAACAACAAAACUCAUGAUCGACCAAAGAGUUAUAGCCUCUGACAUUUGGUGAAAAAUCACAGAAUUCGGUUUUUCCAACUUACUCAAAUCUUCAAAUUCGUGCACUUUGAUGUUAUGGGUCUGUGAUUUUACAACCCAGAACAUUAAUAGACUCCUUAUUACACAACUUUAAACAAUCAAUUGCAUCAAUUAACAUCGAAUCAAAGGAUUUCUAAUUUUUGGGAUUUCAUACCUUUUCUUACUUUGAUUUCUUGAUUUUUGACUUUGAUGCUUCUGAUUUGUGGUUUGUGAUGGUUGGUCUUUGAUUAUGAGCUUAUGGGUAAGAUAAUUUCGUUGGUUAGAACUUGAGAGAGUGUGGCUAGGUGUUUGCUAUAAUUUUAGUGUGUAAUUUCAUUUAAUCUCCUUGAUUUCUAUUUAUA
Molecule: long non-coding RNA, 3591 nt
Filed under: Panax ginseng (ginseng)
Lineage: Eukaryota; Viridiplantae; Streptophyta; Magnoliopsida; Apiales; Araliaceae
Description: long non-coding RNA (PGIN_LNC000188)
Source: RNAcentral